GCUCGGGUGGCGGAAUCGGCAGACGCACAGGACUUAAAAUCCUGCGGGACACAAAUCCCGUGCGAGUUCAAGUCUCGCUCCGAGCA
RNAcentral lists this transfer RNA (86 nucleotides) under Pseudomonadota bacterium. Its description in RNAcentral is "tRNA-Leu". It matches the Rfam family "tRNA". Rfam says of the family: Transfer RNA (tRNA) molecules are approximately 80 nucleotides in length. Their secondary structure includes four short double-helical elements and three loops (D, anti-codon, and T loops). RNAcentral also lists the same sequence under 1 other name. The record is from RNAcentral. Lineage: Bacteria; Pseudomonadati; Pseudomonadota.